This is a long non-coding RNA of Numida meleagris (helmeted guineafowl), 744 nucleotides long. RefSeq lists it as uncharacterized. The transcript has 3 exons. The record is from RefSeq and is a predicted model, not a curated record. Lineage: Eukaryota; Metazoa; Chordata; Aves; Galliformes; Numididae.
UUUUUCCACUCUAUGCAAAGCUAACUUAUAUUCCUAACUGAGAAAUGUGACAAGUGGCUGAGCUAUGUUCAUGCAGUGCCUGCUGCCAUUCUCAGAGCUGUGACUUCUAUGUCAGAGGGAGAACAGUGCUGGACAAAAAUCCCAGAGUAAAUAAAUUGUCUGAGUUCUCCAUGUCUUCAAUUAUUUCUGUAAAAUGGGAAUAAUAAUGCUUCCCAUCUCCUGCUACUUUUUUUCACUUUAGUAUUGACUAAUAAUCAGUCAUUGUCAAGUCACUUUAAAAUUCUGUGGAACCAGCACAGCAUCCUUUCCUUCAAAGUGCAUUCUACAGAUUGGCUUGCUUCUUCACGCAAAUUGAACAGCUGGAUCCUCCCCCCUCAUGGGGACAGCACGAGCAAGUUAAAAACGGAAAGACAACUUGAAGCGGUAACCUUUGCAGCUAAACGGAAAGGUGCAUGAAUGUCUGCUGAUUUCCAGCUCUGGAAGAGAAAACGGGCAGCUCUGGAGGAGAAAAUGAUGCUAUUGUAAAUGCCACCUUCCCUCAGAAGUCCUGUGGACUCCCAGGAUGGCAGCGGGAGGAUCCUCAGCCCAGAAAGCAGUGUAGAAUGAGGAGGAGGAGAAGGAGGAGGAAGCUCUGUCCUGGUCUUGCACACAGGCUUUCAUCGUGCAAUCACUUGCUUCAGCCUCAUCACCCCUCAAAGUCUGAAGGUCAUUUUGGGCAGUGUCUCAGUUUUUCAGUAAAAGAAC